This 1748-nucleotide long non-coding RNA is filed under the name Homo sapiens (human). RNAcentral's name for it is "HSALNT0123332". The record is from RNAcentral. Lineage: Eukaryota; Metazoa; Chordata; Mammalia; Primates; Hominidae.
GUAACAGAGUGAGACUCUGUCUCAAAACAAAUCAAAACAAAACGAAACAAAACCAUGUUAAUACAACAUAGAAAUAAAUACACUAAUAAGAAUAUUAGUGAUUUUGUUCCAGCCAAAUGGCCAAUAACAAAAGAUGCAAAUAGCAAAAGGUGGAGGUGGGGGGCGGGUGGUCACAAAAGGUGUAGUGACUUUCAGCGUAGAUGAAAUUAUGGAAGACGCAGCUCACGAAGCAUCUUGAGAGAGAUGAGGUGCUAUCUCAUCUAGAUUCUUCUCAGCUAUCUGAGUUAACCACAUUCAAACAGCUUUCAAAGUUCCCUCAUUCUUAUAAACCUGGCUGUUUAAAACACACUUUCAAAACUUCCCGAGAAUUCCAUAAAGUAGAAUCAGAUCACUGUAUAGAUUGAUUGAUUAAUUCAACAAAGACAUAUUGUUUUAGGUGAUGGAGAUGUAGCAAUGAACAAGACAAUCACGAUUCCUCAUCUCCUAGAGCCCAUGGGUCUAGAGGGAGUGCCAAGCAGAUAACAAGCAAAGAGCAACAACAAUGCAAAAAGCAAAUAUGACAAUUUCAGAACCCGAGAGGCACUGGAAGAAACUGAGGCCAGGGAAUGGAAUUGAUGAUGGCAGGUGUGGAGAGUGGUCAGUGAGGGGCUCUCCUCUCUAAGAAGGUAACCUUUGAACUGAGACAUGAAGGAGGAAAAGGAACCAGCCACAAGAAAAUCAGGGAAAGGGUAACUCCAGACAGCAGGAAUAGCUAGGGCAAAAGCCCUGAGGCCACAUUGAGCUUCGCUGUGAUAGGAACAAGAAUGGUGGCCAGUGUGGCGUGGGCUUAGAGAGACAGCCAGAGAAGAAUGGAAGAGCCAGAUGGAGAUGCAAGCAGGGGCUGCUUCUGUGGUCUUGUGGGCUUGGUACAGAGUCCAGAUGAGGAAACUGAGGCUCAGAGAGGUUAAGUAACUUGCCCAAGGUCACACAUUUAACAGUGGCUGAGCCAGGAUUUGGACCUGGGUUCCCAACUUCAUACCCAGUCCUCUCAACCUUCACCUCUGCCCAUAUGUGGCAAAAGCAUUAAACAUGUAUUUCCAGACAGCACAGCCUGUGCUCUAUGAACACUGUUUGUGUGUGUCUAUGUAUGUGUGUGUGUGCUUGCAUGCAUCUGCGUGUGCUUUUUUGUGUGUGUUUUAAUUGCAAGGAAAAGUGCACACAUCAUACACAAAGAGCUCAGUGAAUUCUCGCCAAGUGGACACAUUUGUGGAAUGAGCACCCAGAUGUACACAGGACAUUCCAGAAGCCCCCUUGAUGACUCUCCUGGUAAAUCCUCCCCACCACCGCCCCCAAGGUUAACGGCUGUCUUGAAUUCUAACUCCAUAGAUGACUUUUGCUGGUUUUGAACUUUCUAUAAAGGGAAGCACAAAGUGUGUGCUCUUCCCAUCUGGCUUCUUUCAUUCAGCAUCCUGACUGCACAGCUUGUGGUGUUCUGUUAGACUUUGACUGCCACGCUGCGAGAGCACAGGUGGACUCCCAGAAUGCUUCCUUCCCAUGAACAAGGCCAGGAGAAAGCUGCUUGCACAAAAGCAGUUCAAAGAGACACAGAAAAGUACAAGAAGAAAACUAAAAAGGUGACCCCGAGAGAACCAUUCUAAGAUGUCCAUGGGAAUUCAGCUCAGCUCAUGUAUUUAUAUUGAGAUCCUACUGUUGUCUGCUUUUUCAUUUUUCAUGAAAAUAAAACUUGACUCAAAGUUUCAUUUAAAAAU